UGGGGAAUUUUGGACAAUGGGGGAAACCCUGAUCCAGCCAUCCCGCGUGUGCGAUGAAGGCCUUCGGGUUGUAAAGCACUUUUGGCAGGAAAGAAACGUCAUGGGUUAAUACCCCGUGAAACUGACGGUACCUGCAGAAUAAGCACCGGCUAACUACGUGCCAGCAGCCGCGGUAAUACGUAGGGUGCAAGCGUUAAUCGGAAUUACUGGGCGUAAAGCGUGCGCAGGCGGUUCGGAAAGAAAGAUGUGAAAUCCCAGAGCUCAACUUUGGAACUGUGUUUUUAACUACCGGGCUAGAGUGUGUCAGAGGGAGGGGGAAUUCCGCGUGUAGCAGUGAAAUGCGUAGAUAUGCGGAGGAACACCGAUGGCGAAGGCAGACUCCUGGGAUAACCCUGACGCUCAUGCACGAAAGCGUGGGGAGCAAACAGG
RNAcentral lists this ribosomal RNA (429 nucleotides) under Acidobacteriota bacterium. Its description in RNAcentral is "Acidobacteria bacterium partial 16S ribosomal RNA". It matches the Rfam family "Bacterial small subunit ribosomal RNA", at positions 355 to 776 of the family's 1533-position model. Lineage: Bacteria; Pseudomonadati; Acidobacteriota. The record is from RNAcentral.